RNAcentral lists this ribosomal RNA (458 nucleotides) under uncultured archaeon. RNAcentral's name for it is "bacterial SSU rRNA". It matches the Rfam family "Archaeal small subunit ribosomal RNA", at positions 880 to 1336 of the family's 1478-position model. The record is from RNAcentral.
CACAAGGGGUGAAGCCUGCGGUUCAAUUGGAGUCAACGCCGGAAAUCUUACCGGGGGCGACAGCAGAGUGAAGGUCAAGCUGAAGACUUUACCAGACAAGCUGAGAGGAGGUGCAUGGCCGUCGCCAGCUCGUGCCGUGAGGUGUCCUGUUAAGUCAGGUAACGAGCGAGAUCCCUAUCUCUAGUUGCUACUGCUGCUCUCAGGAGUAGUAGAGCUAAUUAGAGGGACCGCCGCCGCUGAGGCGGAGGAAGGAGGGGGCUACGGCAGGUCAGUAUGCCCCGAAACCCUCGGGCCACACGCGGGCUGCAAUGGUAAGGACAAUGGGUUCCUAUUCCGAAAGGAGGAGGCAAUCCCCAAACCUUACCCCAGUUAUGAUUGAGGGCUGAAACUCGCCCUCAUGAAUAUGGAAUCCCUAGUAACCGCGUGUCAUCAUCGCGCGGUGAAUACGUCCCUGCUCC